This 276-nucleotide RNase P RNA is filed under the name Halomonas sp. Its description in RNAcentral is "partial RNase P RNA component class A". It matches the Rfam family "Bacterial RNase P class A", at positions 1 to 270 of the family's 367-position model. From Rfam's summary of the family: Ribonuclease P (RNase P) is a ubiquitous endoribonuclease, found in archaea, bacteria and eukarya as well as chloroplasts and mitochondria. Its best characterised activity is the generation of mature 5'-ends of tRNAs by cleaving the 5'-leader elements of precursor-tRNAs. Lineage: Bacteria; Pseudomonadati; Pseudomonadota; Gammaproteobacteria; Oceanospirillales; Halomonadaceae. The record is from RNAcentral.
GGAGUUGGCCAGACAGUCGCCGCUAGUGUGCUCGCAAAGGCCGCUAGGGGAGGAAAGUCCGGGCUCCAUAGGGCAGAGUGCCAGGUAACGCCUGGGCGGCGUAAGCCGACGGAAAGUGCAGCAGAGAGUAGACCGCCUAAGCCUUUCGGGGCCGGUAAGGGUGAAAGGGUGCGGUAAGAGCGCACCGCGGACGCGGCAACGCGGACGGCACGGCAAACCCCACCGGGAGCAAGACCGAAUAGGGGCGGCGCGCCCUUCGCGAGAAGGGCAGGCCGG